Molecule: non-coding RNA, 471 nt
Filed under: Potentilla biflora
Lineage: Eukaryota; Viridiplantae; Streptophyta; Magnoliopsida; Rosales; Rosaceae
Source: RNAcentral
UAAUCCUUAUAUAGUUAAAGGGUCUUUCGGUUUGAUUAAUAUUCAUUCCGAACAAAAACUUUAGUUCUUAAAAGGAUUGAAUCCUUUCCCUCUCAAUGAAAAAUUCGAGGAAGAAUAUAAAUUCUCGUGAUUUUUAUCCAAGAAUCAAUUUUAAAUUAAAAAUUGGAUUAUGAGAUUACGAAACAUAAUUUUUUUAUUGGAUCAAUACUUCCAAUUGAAUGAGUAUAAGUAAAGGACCCAUGGAUAAAGAUAAAAAGUGUAUUUCUAAUCGUAACUAAAUCUUCAAUUUUUCAUUUCUGUAGGGGAAAUUGAAGCAAAACAGCUAUUAAACAAUGUCUUUGGUUUACUAAAGACAUCGAUAAAUUGUUUUAGCUCGGUGGAAACAAAAUGCUUUUCCUAAGGAUUCUUUCAAAUAGAAGUAGAGAACGAAGUAACUAGAAAGAUUGUUAGAAUAUAACACCCCUUUCUAUA